AAGACCUUACUUCAUAGGAUCAUUUCUAUAGUAAGUUCUUCACGAGACUUGACUAUCGAUCAAUUUAAAUAGUAUGUGCUACGUAUGAAUAAAACAAGAUUUUCUUUUCGAUUUUUCGAAUUAGUCCGGUUAAUCGAGUUUGCACUGUGGUAUGCUAUGA
Molecule: small nucleolar RNA, 160 nt
Filed under: Papilio xuthus (Asian swallowtail)
Lineage: Eukaryota; Metazoa; Arthropoda; Insecta; Lepidoptera; Papilionidae
Description: Small nucleolar RNA U3
Rfam family: Small nucleolar RNA U3
About the family: Small nucleolar RNAs (snoRNAs) are involved in the processing and modification of rRNA in the nucleolus. There are two main classes of snoRNAs: the box C/D class, and the box H/ACA class. U3 snoRNA is a member of the box C/D class.
Source: Rfam by way of RNAcentral